Molecule: non-coding RNA, 67 nt
Filed under: Solirubrobacterales bacterium
Lineage: Bacteria; Bacillati; Actinomycetota; Thermoleophilia; Solirubrobacterales
Description: Fluoride sequence
Rfam family: Fluoride riboswitch aptamer (crcB RNA motif)
Source: RNAcentral
CGCCGUGGUGGCGAUGAGGCUCGCCGUAACCGCCGUGAAGCUCGCGGCUGAUGGCCUCUACGGAAGU